UACGGGGGGGGCAAGCGUUGUUCGGAAUUACUGGGCGUAAAGGGCUCGUAGGCGGCCAACUAAGUCAGACGUGAAAUCCCUCGGCUUAACCGGGGAACUGCGUCUGAUACUGGAUGGCUUGAGUUUGGGAGAGGGAUGCGGAAUUCCAGGUGUAGCGGUGAAAUGCGUAGAUAUCUGGAGGAACACCGGUGGCGAAGGCGGCAUCCUGGACCAACACUGACGCUGAGACACGAAAGCGUGGGUAGCAAACAGG
This 253-nucleotide ribosomal RNA is filed under the name uncultured bacterium. Its description in RNAcentral is "partial 16S ribosomal RNA". It matches the Rfam family "Bacterial small subunit ribosomal RNA", at positions 524 to 776 of the family's 1533-position model. The record is from RNAcentral.